UUGAUCGUGCAAAGGUAGCAUAAUAAUUAGUUUUUUAAUUGAGAACUGGUAUGAAUGGUUGGACGAGGAAAAGGCUGUCUCAAUUUAAUUUUAAUUAGAAUUUUAUAUUUAAGUUAAAAAGCUUAAAUAUGUUUAAAAGACGAGAAGACCCUAUAGAGUUUUAUAUAAAAUAAAUUUUUAAUAUAGAAGUAUUUAAAAUUUAUUAAUUUAUUUUGUAUUUAGUUGGGGUGACUAAAAAAUUUAAUUAACUUUUUUUAUUUAAUUUAACAUUGAUUUAUGAAUAAGUGAUCCAUAUAUUAUGAUUAAAAGAUUAAAUUACCUUAGGGAUAACAGCGUUAUUUUUUUUGAGAGUUCUUAUCGAAAAAAAAGUUUGCGACCUCGAUGUUGGAUUAAAAUAAACUUUUGGUGUAGCAGCUAAAAUAGUUGGGUCUGUUCGACCUUUAAAAUUUUACAUGAUCUGAGUUUAAACCGGCGUGAGCCAGGUUGGUUUCUAUCUUUAAAUAAUUUAAAUAUUUUAGUACGAAAGGACCAAGUAUU
RNAcentral lists this ribosomal RNA (537 nucleotides) under Bubas bison. Its description in RNAcentral is "partial 16S ribosomal RNA". It matches the Rfam family "Bacterial large subunit ribosomal RNA", at positions 1942 to 2700 of the family's 2925-position model. Lineage: Eukaryota; Metazoa; Arthropoda; Insecta; Coleoptera; Scarabaeidae. The record is from RNAcentral.